ACAAGCUAUGGAGCAACAGGCUCAGUUGCGUGAUGCUCUGAAUGAGGCUCUGAAGAAAGAAGUUGAGAGGCUCAAGAUUGCCACUGGGGAAACAAUGAGCCCCUCUGAGUCAUUCAACUUGGGAAUGCAUCAAAUGCCAUAUGCCCCAGCAAACUUUUUCCCACUUCCACAACAACCAGGACCUGCCAGUCAUCCAAACAUGCAGUUGCCACCAUUUUCACAUUCUCAACAUAAUAUGCCAGCUCACCAUCUUCAUCAAACACAUUCCCAUGCAGUCUCGGAAAUUAUGAAAAAUGAUCCACUUGGCCGAUUACAGGGGCUUGAUAUCAGUAGCAAAGGACCAAAUAUUGUAAAAUCAGAAGGCCCCUCGCUUUCUGCAAGUGAAAGUAGCUCCACAUUUUGACAUAAACUGGCUACUGACUAGCUGACUUUCCAUGGCAUGUGUGUUAAUAGACUGACAUCCAGUUACUUAGAGAAGGCGUUCUAUUUAGUUCCAUUAUUCGUUCCAUUCAUGUUGUGGGAAUCAAUUAUUAAUUGUUUAUUCUUAGGGUUAUCCCAGAAAAAGGGAAACACCCAGGUUUUGAUGCAGCUUGUAUGAGUUCUUUGCGUAACAUGGAAUUUUGUUUAUCAAUGAUGAAUUCAGGGGAGGACCUAUGGGAGUGAAAGGUCAUUCCCAUUAGGUGUAAGAUGUUUUAUGACGGUGGUGUCAAAUUCAUUUGUAUCUCAUUUUCAUUUGAUUCUGUGUGAACAUGGUGUCUUACUCUCAUUCCAUUUCCUUUAUUGGUUGAAAUGGGAUUCUCAAUCUCUUUUGCUCUCAACUUAUUCAAGCAUGAG
Molecule: unclassified non-coding RNA, 834 nt
Filed under: Hevea brasiliensis (rubber tree)
Lineage: Eukaryota; Viridiplantae; Streptophyta; Magnoliopsida; Malpighiales; Euphorbiaceae
Source: RNAcentral